AGCGUGGUAGCUCAGUUAGGUCGAGCGCUGGCCUCAUGAGCCAGAGGAGGCCGGGGCGGAACCGGCCCACGCUA
Molecule: transfer RNA, 74 nt
Filed under: Nitrososphaerota archaeon
Lineage: Archaea; Thermoproteati; Nitrososphaerota
Description: tRNA-Met
Rfam family: tRNA
About the family: Transfer RNA (tRNA) molecules are approximately 80 nucleotides in length. Their secondary structure includes four short double-helical elements and three loops (D, anti-codon, and T loops). Further hydrogen bonds mediate the characteristic L-shaped molecular structure. tRNAs have two regions of fundamental functional importance: the anti-codon, which is responsible for specific mRNA codon recognition, and the 3' end, to which the tRNAs corresponding amino acid is attached (by aminoacyl-tRNA synthetases). tRNAs cope with the degeneracy of the genetic code in two manners: having more than one tRNA (with a specific anti-codon) for a particular amino acid; and 'wobble' base-pairing, i.e. permitting non-standard base-pairing at the 3rd anti-codon position.
Source: RNAcentral